RNAcentral lists this ribosomal RNA (502 nucleotides) under uncultured bacterium. RNAcentral's name for it is "partial 16S ribosomal RNA". It matches the Rfam family "Bacterial small subunit ribosomal RNA", at positions 29 to 507 of the family's 1533-position model. The record is from RNAcentral.
AGCGAACGCUGGCGGCGUGCCUAACACAUGCAAGUCGAACGUGAAAGGGAGCAAUCCCAAGUAAAGUGGCGUACGGGUGAGUAACACGUAGGUAAUCUACCCCAGAAUCUGGAAUAACCGGCCGAAAGGCUGGCUAAUACUGGAUAGAGCGACGGAAUCCGUAAUUGGGUUUUUCGGGAAAGGGAGCCUGUAAAAAGGCCUUCGUUCUGGGAUGAGCCUGCGUCCCAUCAGCUAGUUGGUGAGGUAAAAGCUUACCAAGGCAAUGACGGGUAGCUGGUAGGAUAGGACGAUCAGCCACACUGGGACUGAAACACGGUCCAGACUCAUACGGGAGGCAGCAGUGGGGAAUCGUGCGCAAUGGGCGAAAGUCUGACGAAGCAACGCCGCGUGAGUGAAGAAGGCCUUCGGGUUGUAAAGCUCUGUCGAGUGGGACGAAAAUGCUUGGAGUUCACAGCUCCAGGAACUGACGGUACCAAUAAAGGAAGCACCGGCUAACUCCGUG